RNAcentral lists this ribosomal RNA (663 nucleotides) under Escherichia coli. RNAcentral's name for it is "bacterial SSU rRNA". It matches the Rfam family "Bacterial small subunit ribosomal RNA", at positions 1 to 653 of the family's 1533-position model. Lineage: Bacteria; Pseudomonadati; Pseudomonadota; Gammaproteobacteria; Enterobacterales; Enterobacteriaceae. The record is from RNAcentral.
AAAUUGAAGAGUUUGAUCAUGGCUCAGAUUGAACGCUGGCGGCAGGCCUAACACAUGCAAGUCGAACGGUAACAGGAAGAAGCUUGCUUCUUUGCUGACGAGUGGCGGACGGGUGAGUAAUGUCUGGGAAACUGCCUGAUGGAGGGGGAUAACUACUGGAAACGGUAGCUAAUACCGCAUAACGUCGCAAGACCAAAGAGGGGGACCUUCGGGCCUCUUGCCAUCGGAUGUGCCCAGAUGGGAUUAGCUAGUAGGUGGGGUAACGGCUCACCUAGGCGACGAUCCCUAGCUGGUCUGAGAGGAUGACCAGCCACACUGGAACUGAGACACGGUCCAGACUCCUACGGGAGGCAGCAGUGGGGAAUAUUGCACAAUGGGCGCAAGCCUGAUGCAGCCAUGCCGCGUGUAUGAAGAAGGCCUUCGGGUUGUAAAGUACUUUCAGCGGGGAGGAAGGGAGUAAAGUUAAUACCUUUGCUCAUUGACGUUACCCGCAGAAGAAGCACCGGCUAACUCCGUGCCAGCAGCCGCGGUAAUACGGAGGGUGCAAGCGUUAAUCGGAAUUACUGGGCGUAAAGCGCACGCAGGCGGUUUGUUAAGUCAGAUGUGAAAUCCCCGGGCUCAACCUGGGAACUGCAUCUGAUACUGGCAAGCUUGAGUCUCGUA